This 72-nucleotide transfer RNA is filed under the name Phrynosoma platyrhinos (Desert horned lizard). RNAcentral describes it as "tRNA-OTHER". It matches the Rfam family "tRNA". From Rfam's summary of the family: Transfer RNA (tRNA) molecules are approximately 80 nucleotides in length. The record is from RNAcentral. Lineage: Eukaryota; Metazoa; Chordata; Lepidosauria; Squamata; Phrynosomatidae.
GCCAAGGUGGUGUAGCAGUUUGAGUGUUGGACUAUGAUUCUGGAGACCAGGGUUCAAAUCCCUGCCUGAGCA